This 482-nucleotide ribosomal RNA is filed under the name uncultured bacterium. RNAcentral describes it as "partial 16S ribosomal RNA". It matches the Rfam family "Bacterial small subunit ribosomal RNA", at positions 30 to 507 of the family's 1533-position model. The record is from RNAcentral.
AUUGAACGCUGGCGGCAUGCCUUACACAUGCAAGUCGAACGGUAACACGUCUUCGGACUCUUACUAGUGGCGAACGGUUGAGUAAUGCAUCGGAACGUGCCCAGUCGUGCUUUAUAACUGCUCGUAAGAUCAGCUAAUACCCCAUACUACCUGAUGCUGCAUGCGGGUGACCGUAAGGCCUCUUCCGAUUUUGCCCGCCGAUGUGAGAUUAUCUAGUUGGGGGGGUAAAGGCCUACCAAGGCCACGAUCUGCAGUUGGUCUGAGAGGACGACCAGCCACACUGGGACUGAGACACGGCCCAGACUCCUACGGGAGGCAGCAGUGGGGAAUUUUGGACAAAGGGCGCAAGCCUGAUCCAGCAAUGCCGCGUGCAGGAAGAAGGCCUUCGGGUUGUAAACUGCUUUUGUCAGGGAAGAAAUCUUCUGGGCUAAUACCCCGGGAGGAUGACGGUACCUGAAGAAUAAGCACCGGCUAACUACGUG